GUGAGCAGCAAUCAACUGCUCCUCGGCGCGCUGUUUGUCUGAAAGUUUCUAGAAGGUUCAACGGUGCAAGAAGUGAAGCGACAACAAACUAAACCACCCAGACGCUUUUUGUGAAGAGAAAGAAAGGAGGCUGAUGUGAGGAAGCUGGCGUUUUAUUAAAAUAAAGUUUAGUAAAGUUUUACUCCGACAAAGUGGACAAACUCAGGACGGUUUAUCACAAGCUAGCUGGCUAACGGCUGAAAAAAACGCUAGCUAACGUUAGGUUACAGCUGAAGGAAGUGGGUGACAUCACAGACGGGAUGUUCAGUGUCAGCUCGGUGGAUUUGACUCUUCUGAGGACAGUGAGGCUCUCCAGAUAUGUCUGGACAGCUGGCUGCUAUGGAAACAAAGAGCCCUGACCGACCACAAUGUCACCUAUGGAAUUGGCGGUGGAGAUCUGUGUCAGAGUGAUCAGAAAGUUGUAUAGUGUUGGGACACAAUGUGGAGUCCACCAUCAUCCCUGUGUGUUCCUCUGGAUCUGUCAGAGUAUCAUCAGAGUAUCUGGACUACUCUGUUGCUGCUCUGUCCUUCUACACAGUGUCUGCCGACACACUGAGACUCCUCCACUCCUGCUCCACCUUCAACCACCGCCUCCAGCCUCCACCUGGAUCUGGGUUUCAUCUUCUCUUAAUUCAGUCAGAUGUUCUGAACCCAAAGUACCUCUGCAGAUUAGUUCUGUUUAUAAACAACUGUAUAUUAACACAUUUAAAUAGAUAUGUCUGCUUUGCUUUCUGUUGCAGCUCCAGCCUGUGGAACAAUGCAGUAUUGCAGUUAAUUCCCACAUAUUUCUAAAUAAUAUAAGUUGAAAUUGCAUGUAUAAAGUUACUUAAUUACCACCAAUACCAGCCGAUUCUUACAUUAUAACAGAUAAAUAUUUGCUUGUAACAAACAUAAGAUAAAACCUGAAUUGAAUCAAGACUACUGCAGUUUCUCAACCGACUACAAACUGAUUAUGUCUGGAUGUUGAUGUUGAUAUUUUAUUUUGGAAAUCAUUUUUGAUGUAAAGUAAUUCACAUGCUGUAGUUUCCAUUAUUGAUUGUGUGUGUCUAUAAGAAAUAUUGCAAGUACACAGGAAAAUAAUCCUGACU
Perca flavescens (yellow perch) is the source of this 1127-nucleotide long non-coding RNA. RefSeq lists it as uncharacterized. The transcript is spliced from 3 exons. NCBI's taxonomy places the organism in Eukaryota, Metazoa, Chordata, Actinopteri, Perciformes, Percidae. The record is from RefSeq and is a predicted model, not a curated record.